CUACGAUCAUACCACGUUGAAAGCACGACAUC
RNAcentral lists this ribosomal RNA (32 nucleotides) under Trichinella papuae. Lineage: Eukaryota; Metazoa; Nematoda; Enoplea; Trichinellida; Trichinellidae. The record is from RNAcentral.